Molecule: ribosomal RNA, 506 nt
Filed under: uncultured bacterium
Lineage: Bacteria
Description: partial 16S ribosomal RNA
Rfam family: Bacterial small subunit ribosomal RNA
Source: RNAcentral
AGUGAACGCUGGCGGUAGGCCUAACACAUGCAAGUCGAACGGCAGCACAGGAGAGCUUGCUCUCUGGGUGGCGAGUGGCGGACGGGUGAGGAAUACAUCGGAAUCUACUUUUUCGUGGGGGAUAACGUAGGGAAACUUACGCUAAUACCGCAUACGACCUACGGGUGAAAGCAGGGGAUCUUCGGACCUUGCGCGAUUGAAUGAGCCGAUGUCGGAUUAGCUAGUUGGCGGGGUAAAGGCCCACCAAGGCGACGAUCCGUAGCUGGUCUGAGAGGAUGAUCAGCCACACUGGAAAUGGGACACGGUCCAGACUCCUACGGGAGGCAGCAGUGGGGAAGAUUGGACAAUGGGCGCAAGCCUGAUCCAGCCAUACCGCGGGGGUGAAGAAGGCCUUCGGGUUGUAAAGCCCUUUUGUUGGGAAAGAAAUCCAGCUGGUUAAUACCCGGUUGGGAUGACGGUACCCAAAGAAUAAGCACCGGCUAACUUCGUGCCAGCCGCCGCAGUAA